AAGAAAGUCCUGCAGUGAGAUGGAGAUCUGUAAAUGAACAGUCUAAAGUGGUUUACUGAGUCACUGACGAAGUGAAUCUUAACUAAGACCAGAAGGACAGCUGGCAGGAAUAAGAGGCAAGGUGGUAUGCGGCAGGAAGAUGCUGGGAGGUGAGGCUGGCCCCAUAGCCACGGCCAGGCCAUACAGGGACUUUUGUGGUCCAAAGAACCACGCAGAGCUGUGAAAGGACGCAAGCAAGGAAUGACAGAUGGCACCUGUGCGUGGGAGAGGGCACUCUGCUGAAGCACUGCAGUGAGAGCAUGGGAUUAGGACACAUGACCAUGCCUUGGUCCGUGCCAGCAGAAUGGAGAUAUGAAAACAUGAAGGACCAGGAGGCUGUGCUGUUCGACCAAUAGCCCCAUUUGAGCAGUGGGAUACUAAGUCCUAUUGCAUCAUAGGACUAUUCUAUUCUUUGAUGUACUGGGUCAUCUCUGAGAAUCUACUUCGCCCUACGUCCUUCUCUCUUGGGAAUUUCACUGGAGACCAGUGUCCACUGAGCUCCUGCAAAGUACUCUGUACGGGCCCAGGCAUCCUGCGGGAGACAGGUGUUAUGCAUACUCAGCAUAUAAAUGGACCCGUGAAUACAAUGAGAUGGAUUUUCAGAAGAACAUUUAAGAGCAGGCUGAAACAAAGAGUUAAAUGAGAGAACAAACAUGGAGUCACAGGUAAAGGGCUGCUUGGCGGUGGUGGUUGUGAGAGGAGGCAUGUCACUCAACACUCCUGAUUCUCUCCGUGUCACUCCAAAUAACAGGUAAAAGCAUUUUACUAGGUGUUCAAGUCUACUAGGUCUCUUCUAGUUAGAAUAGAUUUUCUCCUCUAUAAUAGGAUGCUACUUGUGAUUCAUCACAUGGUCUCUCAGCUUCAUUUGGUUAAGGCUUCAAAAUCUAAGGACAAUAUGAUAGGGGUCAAAUGUCUCCAAAUUUUCAGGCAUGUACACAUCUAAUGCAAGCUAAUGUUGUAAGCACAGCC
This 1008-nucleotide long non-coding RNA is filed under the name Fukomys damarensis (Damara mole-rat). RNAcentral's name for it is "lncRNA (ENSFDAG00000025850.1)". Lineage: Eukaryota; Metazoa; Chordata; Mammalia; Rodentia; Bathyergidae. The record is from RNAcentral.